GGUAAGGUAGCCGAGUGUCCAGGCGGUGGGUUGUAGCCCCGAAGACAAAGGUUUAAGUCCUUUUCUUACCA
This 71-nucleotide transfer RNA is filed under the name Labeobarbus maroccanus. Its description in RNAcentral is "tRNA-Tyr". It matches the Rfam family "tRNA". From Rfam's summary of the family: Transfer RNA (tRNA) molecules are approximately 80 nucleotides in length. Their secondary structure includes four short double-helical elements and three loops (D, anti-codon, and T loops). Further hydrogen bonds mediate the characteristic L-shaped molecular structure. tRNAs have two regions of fundamental functional importance: the anti-codon, which is responsible for specific mRNA codon recognition, and the 3' end, to which the tRNAs corresponding amino acid is attached (by aminoacyl-tRNA synthetases). tRNAs cope with the degeneracy of the genetic code in two manners: having more than one tRNA (with a specific anti-codon) for a particular amino acid; and 'wobble' base-pairing, i.e. permitting non-standard base-pairing at the 3rd anti-codon position. The record is from RNAcentral. Lineage: Eukaryota; Metazoa; Chordata; Actinopteri; Cypriniformes; Cyprinidae.